Molecule: ribosomal RNA, 254 nt
Filed under: uncultured bacterium
Lineage: Bacteria
Description: partial 16S ribosomal RNA
Rfam family: Bacterial small subunit ribosomal RNA
Source: RNAcentral
GACAGAGGUGCCGAGCGUUAGGCGGAAUCACUGGGCUUAAAGCGUGUGUAGGCGGGUCGUUAAGUGCCUUGUGAAAUCCCACGGCUCAACCGUGGAACUGCUGGGCAUACUGCCGAUCUUGAGCCAGCUAGGGGCAACCGGAACAAACGGUGGAGCGGUGAAAUGCGUAGAUAUCGUUUGGAACGCCAAUGGUGAAAACAGGUUGCUGGGGCUGUGCUGACGCUGAGACACGAAAGCCAGGGGGAGCGAACGGG